Molecule: long non-coding RNA, 5175 nt
Organism: Orcinus orca (killer whale)
Lineage: Eukaryota; Metazoa; Chordata; Mammalia; Artiodactyla; Delphinidae
Exons: 2
Source: RefSeq, a predicted model, not a curated record
AGCCCAAAACAGUGUAAGUGAUUGCAGCCCCCAGGAAUGUGUCGGGAUCAAGCUAGUUAGCACUCAGCUUACAGCAACUUGUCAAGAUUACUACUAAACGAAGUGUUUAUACAACUUGUGGCUUCCCCUCCAGGUAAACAAAUUUCUAGUGCUGUAUUUCUCUGGAUGCACCAAUCUCUCUGAUUUUAGAGGGACAGUUUUCCCUGUGGCCCCAGUUCUUUGAUAGACUCAAGAACUUUUUUCUUGCACUGCCAAGAGCGAUGACUUGUAAGCUCUUUUACAUGUUAGAGCUGAAAUAGAUAAACCCAUGUCUAUCAACUGGGAACGGGAAAAAUUAGAUGUGCUUCAUUUCAAGCCUAGAGACCCACAUAAUUUGCACAAAUAGAAAUAGGUACAUUGAACAAUUAAACAACUUUAUAUGAGAUGAUAAACAAUACUUUAAAACCCAAUAAAUACAUAAUGUAAUACAGAUUUAGUGUACUCUACAUAGAAUGAAAAGUUUAGAGUAAGUGGUGUUCGGUGGAGAAGAGGGCCAGGGCUUGCUCUUUGGAAGGUGCAUUCAUCAUUCUGCACCUCUUUCUUAGUUAACAAUUGGAGUUUAUGUUUUUACCAUGCACUCAAAAACAGCAAUCUAGGAAAAAUAAAGGGUAAGUCUAGAAACAUAUGGAAAAAGUGCACAGACUGAAGAAGCAACUCUUCAUCCUUCUCACUUGGCAUAAAUUCACCAAUAAAAAUGCUGUGGCUCAUUGAACCAUGACCUGCAGUUUAAAUUUGUUUCAUAUGAUAUUCUCUGACUAGAAAGUGUGUCUAGUAAAUUGGUGAAGGACUCUGCUUGAAAAUGUAACAUCUUAGAAAACACCACGUCUCAGAGGGCAUCUACUUAGUGUGUUUUUAGGUGAUGUCAUUAUGCUGAAACAAAAAAAGAGUGGUGUCCAAAAAAUGGUAUACUAAAGGGUAUACUAUUUCAAGAGCUGUUAUGGUCCAACAUCAUUAACUGAGCAGUCCCUAUGUGAGGUAAUUCUGUAACUUGCUGUAGUUUUUAUUUCAUUUAAAGUCUGGAAUCAGCUAACGAGUAACGUGUCAUCCAGACCAAUGUAAAAAUUUCACACGCUUUCAGUUUUCUUCCCCUCGACUCUGCCCCAACGUCCGUGUGGAAAAUGCCUAGAAGAUUAGUUCAUAUUAUUGUUAAGAUUCCUUUCUUUUCAUAACAAAUACUUAUUUAGGCCUAGCAACGAGGAGUUCUCACUUCUGUUAACUGUAUCUUCACACAUACUCCUGCUUCUUUCUGGAUAGACUAUUUUUCCUGAUGUAAUUCAGCCUCUAAAAAGUAGGUAUUUUCAGACACAGCCUAUAAACUCUAGAACUUCUGAGUUCAAGCUCACCCUUACCUGACCAGUAUCUGGGGGCACAGAAUUCUAAAAUCAAAGAAUUUCCAUCUGUACUUUGCAAGCGUUCCACUGCCUUCUUGUUGCCAAUACUGUUGUUGACAAACCUACUGUUGUUACCUGAAUUCCUGAAGCCUGUUCUGAGGCAAAGAUGUGAAUACGUAGAUUUUUCUCUUUACUGACAAUGCCCUGAGGUGUAUACACAAUGCGUCAAUAUAGUUUGGGUGCUGUUGUGUUACUUUAUUUUUUUUAAUUAAUUUUUGGCUGCGUUGGGUCUUCAUUGCUGUGCGGGGGCUUCUCCUGUUGCAGAGCACAGGCUCUAGGCGUGCAGGCUCAGUAGUUGUGGCACACAGGCUUAGUUGCUCCACGGCAUAUGGGAUCUUCCCGGAACAGGGAUCGUGUCCCUUGCAUUCUUGACCACUGCACCACCAGGGAAGCCCUGUUGUGUUACUCUUAUUGCUUUUCAUUCAUUCUCUCUCUAUUCUUUUCUCCAAAACAUAAUACAUAUUAUGUUGGGACUUCUAGCCAUAAAAUGUUCUUUGUAAGUCCUUUAUCAGAUAUAUGUGACUGACUGCAAAUAUUUUCUACCACUCUGUGGCCUGUCCCUUCAUUUUUUAGAAGAGCAGAAGUCCUUAACUUGGAUAAAGUUGGUUUCUCCUUUUGGUAAGAAAGCUUUUCUCCUACAGUUUAUUCUAGAAAUUUUAUAGUUUUAGGUAUUAUAUUUAGAUCCAGAGUUUGAGUUAAUUUUUUGUAAAUAUUGCAAGACAUGAAUUUGUUAUCUUUCAUUUUUUUGAAUAUCAAUAUCAACUUUUUUCAGCAUUUGUUGAAACAGCUAUUUAUUCUCCAUCAAGUAAUUUUUCCUUCUUUCAGCAUUUGUUGAAACAGCUAUUUAUUCUCCAUCAAGUAAUUUUUCCUUCUUUGUUGAAAGUCAACUAACCAUAUCUAUUUCUAGUUUCUCUAUUCUAGUCUAUUAUUCAUUUAUCUUGACUCUAACAUCACAGUUUUUGAUUACUGUAGCUUUAGAACAACUCUUGAAGUCAGCUAGUAUAAUCCCUCCAACUUUUCAAACAAAGUCUUCUAAAGUUGUUUGUUUUAGCAUUUCUAGGUCCUUUACGUUUCCAUAAGAAUUUUAGCAACAGCUUUUCAAUAUCUACCAAAAAGCCUUUUGGAAGUUUGCUUGGAAUUGCACUACACUGACAGUACACUAUGGCAACAACUGAUAAUAUACCUCACCACUUACUUAUGUCUUUUUCACUUAGUAGGAAGAAAAAUUCCUCAACCUGAUGAAAAACCUACAGCUGACAUCAUCCAUAAGGCUAAAUGCUUUAUGUCCAUGAUAGGAAAGAAACAAGGAUGUCUGCUCUCACCAGCUCAAUAUUUAAUUUUGUGUGGGAGAUCUUAACUAGUGCAAUAAGAAUCCCAUUUCUCAUUUCCUUAAGGUCCAAUCCUCACAAGCCAGGACUAUUCAAGCACAUCCCAAACCCAUAUAGUCAUUCGAACUGUGACCCAGUGAAACGGAGCUAUUGGUUUCCCUACAAGUUUUCCUUCUGUAGAUCUUUGUGAAAGCUUGAACAUCAAGCUUUGUCAAAUGACUCUGAUUCUUCACCAUAUCUGUAUCUUGUUCAGUGGAGGACAUGCAGUCCUGGAGCUGAUUCUAGAAUCCAUUUCAAAAAUAAGGGAAGAGAGAGAGAAAGUGACUCCAAGCAAAAUGUCCCUGACAUUUCUUCAUUCCAAGAGGGUGUUUUUACCAUAAGAAGGAAUCAUAGAUUACUGGAGUUGGAAAAAGCCAUGGAUAAGAUCCUUGUACUGGAUGUAGGGAUCAAGCCCCAUAGAGAUUAAAUGACUUGCCCAAGGUCACAGUUUGUUAGUCUCUUAGAAGAAAUAAUACAUUUUUCUAAAAUAGGAUGCUUCUCACAUUUUAGUCUUUUACUCUCCUUAGCAAAUUUAACCUUUUCCAUGCAGCUGUUGAGAUAACCUACUGGUUGUAUAAGCUACAUCAACACAAGGGACGUAUCUCAGAAAAUGCCCCCAGACUGCCUCCCUUUUCAUUAUUGAAAACCACGAGAUGAAACUCUUUAAUAACCCACUGCACAAGAGGACCAUUACUGUCAGCAUAUACCACUCAGCCAUAUAUUAUAGCUUUUUACUUCUCCACACAAAAUUGCCUUGAAAUUUACAUUUGCUAUAAAGGAUUCAAGUCCAUCACCGUUAAUUUCCCUCUACAAAUUAUGUUUAAUUAUCACCUCUUUCCACCUAUAAAGAAGCCCCUCUUGUACUUCUGUCUCCAUAUAGCUCUCAAGAAGAGUUUCCUCAGCAUGAAUCUUUGAUGGUGCUUUUAUAUCCCUUACAUGCCCUUCCUUGUCAAGCUCACACAGCCCACUUAGAGAUAUGGAAAUGAACCGCUUGCCUGGCGCCUCAUUUCCUUCAUACAUAUGAAAUCUGGUCUCCCUAAGCAGGAGAAAAAGAGGAACAUUUUCCAGCUUUCGCCUGUGGACAGUUAGGCUAGAAACACCCCAUUCUAGGAUUCAGAGAAGCUUUGAAAGGCUAUCCAUGAUUGAUUGCUUAACAGGUCAUAUACUACAUGUAAUCUUUCUGAUGCUUCAAGCAUCAUCUUUAUUCUCUCCCUCAGUUGUGGAGCCCUAGAAGAAAUCAGUUUAAGGGAAAUAUUGAGAAAUCCCAAAAUUAUAUUUUACUCUUUUUUUCAUUUAAUUUCUAUGCUUCCGUAGUACCAUAUAAAGAGCAUGGUCUUCAGAGUCAAAAAUGUUAGCAGUCAAAUCAUAACUCUACCAAAAAUUUACGUAACUUCAAGCAAAUCGCUUAUCUCUGAGUCCCUGUUCUCUCAACCUUAAACAUAAAGCUAUUUUAAGUUUAACUAAGAUUAGCAUGUAUUAUGCUUGGCACAUUCAAGGAAUUCAAAUGUUAAUUAUCCCCUUCCAGAUUCAAUGAAGCAGUAUUUUUGUCUAUAAUCUACUGUCUGCAGCUGAUGGAAACUCAACUCAAACUAGCUGAAGCUAAAAUGGAAUUCACUGACUCACAUAACCAGGAAGUCCUGGCAUGUCUCUGGCUCUGGACAUAGCUGGAUUAAACUUCCCAAACAAUGUCGCCAUGGCUCUGGACUCUGUUUAUCUCUGCUUGGAGUUGCUCUGAACAUAAGCAAUGACCAAAUGACUGGCAAAAUAGCUAGUAUAAGUUAAAGAUCUUCAGCCCCCUCUCUUAGUAGACCCUCAGUGAAGAAAACUGUCUCCUACUAUUUACAUAUCAAGUUCAGGGAAGAUUCUAACUGGACUUGCUUGAAUCAUGUGCCUGCCUCCCAGUCACUGUGACCAUUGGGAAGGCACUACUCAGUUUGGCCACCCUGGCUAAGGACCUACCAUUGUGGUAGAGAACAAAGUGCCAUGAUUUAUAGUCGUAGGAUUAAAUGGAGUGAGGGAUCCUCAAGAAACCAGAAGGACAAUUAAAAUAAUACUGGGAGAAAAAAUUUAAAUAAAUGACAACUAUAGCUUCCAGUGUGCAUUUUUGUCAAUCAAUAAAGAAGUUCUUGGUUUCUUUAUUCAUAACCAGAUUUUCUUUUGCACUCGAGAUUGUCUUGUAUGGGGACCUGUAGUCUAUGUAGGGAUUAGCAAACUACAACCCAGAGACCAAAUGUGGCCCACUGCUUGAUCUGUAAAUAAAGUUUUAUUGAAACACAGCCACACUCUUUCCUUAAUGUAUUGUCCAUGGUUGUUUUGACACUACAUUAUCAGGGUGCAGUAGUUGAAACAGAGUUCAUAGAGACUGCAAGGCCUGAAAU